CAGAAACCGCGAGCCGUUUCCUUUCUCUUCGGAAAUGGCAGUUUUGUUGUCCUGGAUGAAGGCGAGCGCCGCUGCCUCCCUGAAUGCUGAGCACGCUGGCUUCGCGGUGCCCGGAAGGAAGCCUUUGAAGACCCUGACUCCAGUGUCUCCAGCUGAGAGGCUGAGCUUGCCAGCUCCAUUUCUGACUGCUCAUGGAGCAGAAUCAGUGACCAAGGAGAAAAGGGCUGAGUGAAGAAACAAGUGUGAGUGCCAAGAUGAUGCCAAGGGCUGUGAUUUCCUGGUGGGAAGAAAGAAGGAAUAGAAGCCAAAGGAAGGGGGAUGAAAAGCAAAACCAAGAAUCACAAGGAAUCAAGUUCGGAGAGAAUUUUGGCAGAGAUUUUGAGAGGGGGGCUUUAAGUCAGCCAUGGACAUACUGAAGCAAGAGGAAUGAAGGGAAAAAAGAAAAGGGGGGAAAAAAAGAAGAAGAAUGGGGCCAAGGAGGAUUUAAGACUACCAUUAUAGGUUACAAGUUGAAUUCUUUUUAAUAUUCUUCAAGCAAUGACAGUAAAGAUUCAAAUAACUUUUAAAUUACCUUUGAUUUCUAAACCAAGUUUCUUGGAAUGUGAAAGUCGCCAAGACUGGGCCCUGCAGGGCCUGGGUUGGGCUACUACUGCCUAUGGAGAUUCUGAGGGUAUUAACCUUAAUAAUGGCAU
This 692-nucleotide long non-coding RNA is filed under the name Homo sapiens (human). RNAcentral's name for it is "non-protein coding lnc-BIRC2-9:4". Lineage: Eukaryota; Metazoa; Chordata; Mammalia; Primates; Hominidae. The record is from RNAcentral.